RNAcentral lists this ribosomal RNA (500 nucleotides) under uncultured bacterium. RNAcentral describes it as "partial 16S ribosomal RNA". It matches the Rfam family "Bacterial small subunit ribosomal RNA", at positions 28 to 523 of the family's 1533-position model. The record is from RNAcentral.
GAUGAACGCUAGCGGCAGGCUUAAUACAUGCAAGUCGUACGGGAUCCGAGGUAGCAAUACUUUGGUGAGAGUGGCGCACGGGUGCGUAACACGUAUGCAACCUACCUAUAACCGGGACACAACCUCGAGAAAUUGUGGCUAAUAUCCCAUAACACUGCGAAAUGGCAUCAUUUUGCAGUUAAAACUCCGGUGGUCAUAGAUGGGCAUGCGCGACAUUAGCUGGUUGGUGAGGUAACGGCCCACCAAGGCUACGAUGUCUAGGGGUUCUGAGAGGAUUAUCCCCCCCACUGGUACUGAGACACGGACCAGACUCCUACGGGAGGCAGCAGUGAGGAAUAUUGGUCAAUGGGCGCAAGCCUGAACCAGCCAUGCCGCGUGCAGGAAGACGGUCCUAUGGAUUGUAAACUGCUUUUGUACGGGAAGAAACACUCCUACGUGUAGGAGCUUGACGGUACCGUAAGAAUAAGGAUCGGCUAACUCCGUGCCAGCCGCCGCGGUAA